UCUUGAGCCCGGCCUGGCCGGCCGCGCAGUUGUUUCGCCACCGCUUGCGGGAUGCAUUCCUCCCCUACGCCCCGGGCGCCAUGGAAACCGCCCGCGCACCCCCACGCCUUGCACUGCCCCUCAACUCAUUUGUCCCGCUCCCAGCGGCCCGGGGGAGAAGAUCCCCCCACUCUUACAAGGUCAUCAUGGACCAGUCCCCAAACUCUUCAGAAUCUAUUAACUUCACCUUAUAGAGGAGGAAGCUGGAGCCCAGAGUCAGGUGUGCUAUUUGGAUUCUCACAGUGAAUUAGCAUCAAAACGAGCAACGGUGUCUAGAGGUACACCUGGAUGGAGAAGGAGAAAUACAUUUUAGAGAUUGCUUCCUAAAAGGGGGCUCUGGUUCCUUCCAGUCAGUUCUGUCCCCAACUGACUCAAGAGGAAGCUUGCAGGAAUCUCUGGCAUUAAAUUCAACCUUUCCUGGC
This is a non-coding RNA of Microcebus murinus (gray mouse lemur), 461 nucleotides long. The record is from RefSeq and is a predicted model, not a curated record. NCBI's taxonomy places the organism in Eukaryota, Metazoa, Chordata, Mammalia, Primates, Cheirogaleidae.